AGGCCCCUUCCCUCUGCCCCCGGGUGCUUGAAGUCUAGCCCCAUCCUGGUCCAAUGCGCUCUUGGUAGCCUCCUUUCCCAGCUGCCCGCCCGCCGCCAUGCCGCCCUUACUGCCCCUGCGCCUGUGCCGGCUGUGGACAACGAAGCCCGGGCACGGGCCAGGGCCAACAGAGGCAUCCUUCAGCAGGAGCGACAACGGCUAGGGCAGCGGCAGCCGCCACCAUCCGAGCCAACCCAAGGCCCCGAGAUCGUGCCCCGGGGCGCCGGCCCCUGAGGGGCUCACCUGGAUGGGGCCUGCAGUGCGUUCCCGCUUUGCUUCCUUCCCUGGACGGCCCGCUCCCCGAAACGCGCGCAAUAAAGUGAUUCGCAGAGCUCG
RNAcentral lists this long non-coding RNA (375 nucleotides) under Homo sapiens (human). Its description in RNAcentral is "HSALNT0176554". Lineage: Eukaryota; Metazoa; Chordata; Mammalia; Primates; Hominidae. The record is from RNAcentral.